Molecule: ribosomal RNA, 395 nt
Filed under: uncultured bacterium
Lineage: Bacteria
Description: partial 16S ribosomal RNA
Rfam family: Bacterial small subunit ribosomal RNA
Source: RNAcentral
AUACGUAGGGUGCAAGCGUUAAUCGGAAUUACUGGGCGUAAAGCGUGCGCAGGCGGUUUUGUAAGACAGUGGUGAAAUCCCCGGGCUCAACCUGGGAACUGCCAUUGUGACUGCAAGGCUGGAGUGCGGCAGAGGGGGAUGGAAUUCCGCGUGUAGCAGUGAAAUGCGUAGAUAUGGGGAGGAACACCGAUGGCGAAGGCAAUCCCCUGGGCCUGCACUGACGCUCAUGCACGAAAGCGUGGGGAGCAAACAGGAUUAGAUACCCUGGUAGUCCACGCCCUAAACGAUGUCAACUGGUUGUUGGGGAUUUAGUUUCUCAGUAACGAAGCUAACGCGUGAAGUUGACCGCCUGGGGAGUACGGCCGCAAGGUUAAAACUCAAAGGAAUUGACGGGG